This 399-nucleotide ribosomal RNA is filed under the name uncultured bacterium. RNAcentral describes it as "bacterial SSU rRNA". It matches the Rfam family "Archaeal small subunit ribosomal RNA", at positions 455 to 853 of the family's 1478-position model. The record is from RNAcentral.
GUGUCAGCCGCCGCGGUAACACCGGCGGCUCGAGUGGUAACCGUUAUUAUUGGGUCUAAAGGGUCUGUAGCCGGCCGGAUAAGUCUCUUGGGAAAUCUGGCAGCUUAACUGUCAGGCUUUCAGGAGAUACUGUCUGGCUCGAGGCCGGGAGAGGUGAGAGGUACUUCAGGGGUAGGGGUGAAAUCUUGUAAUCCUUGAAGGACCACCAGUGGCGAAGGCGUCUCACCAGAACGGACCUGACGGCAAGGGACGAAAGCUAGGGGCACGAACCGGAUUAGAUACCCGGGUAGUCCUAGCCGUAAACGAUACUCGCUAGGUGUCGGCCACGGUGCGACCGUGGUCGGUGCCGUAGGGAAGCCGUGAAGCGAGCCACCUGGGAAGUACGGCCGCAAGGCUGAA